Dama dama (fallow deer) is the source of this 3054-nucleotide long non-coding RNA. RefSeq lists it as uncharacterized. The transcript is spliced from 3 exons. The record is from RefSeq and is a predicted model, not a curated record. Lineage: Eukaryota; Metazoa; Chordata; Mammalia; Artiodactyla; Cervidae.
GCGAAAUGGAGUUACUCCCAGGCCGGCACUGGCCACCGCUGACCCCAGCGUUAGGGGGCACCUUCCUACCCCGCAACACCCCCGCCCUCCAACCCCGUCCCCGUUCUGCUCGUUCCUUUUAGGCAUCCAUGUCAGAUGUCCCAGCUAAGAUGUGUCUGUGACGGCCUGUGUUCUCCCCUUCCUUGCUUCCCUCCCAUUCUCUUCCCCAGGAGCCUGGAGCUGACUCACCACCUGGCCCUCAUUGUGCUCCUGCAUUCCCCAGGACACCGGUGGUCACUGCACCCUGUAGUGGGGACUAGCCUGAGAGCCUUGCACCAGUCGCUGAGACUGAGCUCCUGGUGGGGGACAGACUCUACAGGAAGUCCAUCCUAAAGGAAAUCAGUCCUGAAUAUUCACUGGAAGGACUGAUACUGAGGCUGAAGCUUCAAUACUUUGGCCACCUGAUGCGAAGAACUGACUCGUUGGAAAAGACCCUGAUGCUGGAAGAGAUGCAGGCAGGAGAAGUGGGCAGCCGAGGAUGAGAUGGCUGGAUGGCAUCACCGACCUGAUAGAUGUGAGUUUGAACAGACUACCUGGGAUCAAAUCCUGGCCCCACAGUCCAGUAGCUGGAUGACCUUGGACAAGUUACUUAACCUCUGGGCCUCCAUCUCCUCUGCAGAAUGGCAUGGUGAUGGCACUUCAGUAUCGAGGGCUGAGAGGAGCCAAGCUGUAAGGGAUGUGUCUGCCACAUUCUAGGCAUGUUAUUAUCAUCACUUAUGUUCUCUGGAUGACCUCUCACCAUGAAGUUAUGUUUUCUGUGGUCAUCAAGAAUGUCCAUAUCUCUAAACUCCAGUUCUGAUUCCUCUUCACCUCUCCCCAGCACUUAACACUUGAAUAUGAACUUUUCCUCAAAAUGGCCUUUUCCUCUUGUCAAAGGCACAAAGAUAGCCGUGGGGCCCAGGCAGCGUCUGUCUGGUGCGUUCUGCCACAGCCAGUCUGCGGGGGGCCCUGGGGCCUGUGCUGUGAGGGUGCCAAGGUCAGCCUAUCUCCUGAGAGGGACUCUCCCUCAGUGGACUCUGUGCCCUCAUAAACUCUCAGCACCUGCUGAUAACAGCCCUGGAAAAGUGUUUGAUAACAGGAACCAAGGUUUCCGGGAAUCUUUGCCAGGAUGUGAGAUGUGGAAGGAGGGGUAUGAGGAGGAGAAGAAGGGGAGGAGAAGGGGAUGACAGAGGAUGAGAUGGUUGGAUGGCAUCACCGACUUGAUGGAUAUGAGUUUGAGCAAGCUCUGGGAGUUGGUGAUGGACAGCGAGGCCUGGCGUGCUGCAGUCCAUGGGGUUGCAAAGAGUCAGACACAACUGAGUGACUGAACUGAACAGAGGGAGGUUGGGUAUUGUCACCCUGCUUAUUUAACUUACUUGCAGAGCACAUCAUGAGAAAUGCCAGGCUGGAUGAGUUAUAAGCUGGAAUCAAGUUUGCUGGGAGAAAGACCAAUAACCUUAGAUAUGUGGAUGAUACCACUCUAAUGGCAGAAAGUGAAGAGGAACUAAAGAACCUCUUGAUGACAGUGAAGGAGGAGAGUGAAAAAGCUGGCUUAAAACUCAACAUUCAAAAAACUAAGAUCAUGGCAUCAGACCAGGCGUUACUCAUGGGGCCACUCCCAGCUGGAGGAAAUAUGGGCCACAUUUCCAGCCUAAAGUCCCAUCACCAAAGAUUGUUCUCCCAAGACCUGUGGUCUGACCACAGAAGUGCCCUGACCUUGAGAGUAUUCCAGGGACCAGCGUGGCUCAAGUCUAGCGAAUUUGCAUCAAAAUCCAGCAGCUGGUGGUGCUGGUGCUGCCGUUCCUGGCUCAGGAGAGGAUGGUUUCAGUUCAAGGUGCAGCAGACAAUUGGAUUUAGGUCUGAAGUCCCUACAGAUCCCAACAGAACCCUCCUGAAGCCUCACGGCUCAGGCUCACAGCCACAUCCAGAAUCAUCAGGGUGGUGCUGGGGGCCUCCAAACACAGUGUCCCUCUGGGCUUCAGCUCCUCUGAGGGCCCCAUCACAGCAGGAUUUUCCCUGAAAAGACCUUUGGAGCCUCUCCCUCUGCCUGAAGUCCGGUGCUCAGGGCAGUGGCUGAUGGUUCUGUCCCCCACCCGCCCCCCGUGUCCCCCACCCACUGUCCGCACGUAUCACUCCCUCUCUCCUCCCGCCCCCUGUGGUCCCCUAGCACUGUAACAGCCAUGUCAUUCCAGGGGUCACAGACGGACCAGAGGUGGUAGGCCCUGCCAGCUGCGGACCCAAGACCCAUGCUGCCCUUCUCCCGCAACCUCGUGAUUAGUUCAGUGUUGCCCUAUAAAGUCUGAUUGCCUGAGACAACCAUGGGACAGCGUCUCGGCCAACAAGAGGGAAGGGGAAACUGCCUGGUGAGCGACGGGGAGCCAAGUGCUGCUGGUGUGAGAGCAGGCGAGCUGGCCCAGCCUUCGGUCUUGCCCCCUCCCUGCCCCGUGUCCUGUGUGGCCGUGGGCACAGGGCCUGGAGGUCAGGAGUGAUGCUCUUGUGAGGAUGGAAACAGCUCUCUGAGAGCAGAGGACCAGGAGGAGCGAAGGAGCCUGGCUGGGGGAUGCCCAGCUCCUAGGCUGCCUCCUGAGCCCUUGCCGGGUGGAAAUCCCACCCCUGUGGGCCUCUGUCCCACGUGGCCACAGGCAGCGUUCUUGAUGCUCAGAGACCCAUCUCUGAGGCAGUUCCUGCUCAGACUCCUUUCUGACGCGUGUGUCCCUAGCAAGCCCUCCGCUGCUUUGUCCCCUGUAAAGAGCAGACCCAGCCUUGCACCCUGGUACAGUGCCUGGGAAUGCUCUCUUUUUUCCCCUCGAACAGAUGAGAGGCUCCUUCCCCCAGGAUCCUACUGGCCAAAUACUUCACCCUUGGGAACCUCAGCUAUGCAGAGAAGCCAAGGAGAGAGGCUUACAGGGGUCUUUAAAAUAAGGCAAAUGAGUAUUAUUCACCCUUCAGAAGGGAGGGAAUUCAUGGUACAGUGUGGAUAGACCUUGAGGACAUGAUGCUCAGUGGAAUAAACCAGUCACCAAACAGUGUAUCCUG